UGAUGGUAGGGUGAUGGGGCUCACCCAAACUUCCCAGAAGGGAUAAUGGCUCCUGCGAAUGG
This 62-nucleotide non-coding RNA is filed under the name Alicyclobacillus sp. RNAcentral's name for it is "Fluoride sequence". It matches the Rfam family "Fluoride riboswitch aptamer (crcB RNA motif)". Lineage: Bacteria; Bacillati; Bacillota; Bacilli; Caryophanales; Alicyclobacillaceae. The record is from RNAcentral.